CGUUAUGGUGGCCGUGCGCAGGGCACCUUCGGGUGCACCGGGUCCUAAUCACCGGUCUACCAAUCUGCGUACGGUCACCACCCUA
RNAcentral lists this non-coding RNA (85 nucleotides) under Pseudomonas sp. SJZ094. RNAcentral also lists the same sequence under 1 other name. Lineage: Bacteria; Pseudomonadati; Pseudomonadota; Gammaproteobacteria; Pseudomonadales; Pseudomonadaceae. The record is from RNAcentral.